GAUGAACGCUAGCGGCAGGCCUCAUACAUGCAAGUCGAGGGGCAGCGGGACACUUCGGUGUUGCCGGCGACCGGCGGACGGGUGCGUAAUGCGCAUGCAAUCUACUUUACACUGGGGAAUAGCCUCCGGAAACGGGAAUUAAUACCCCAUAUAAUCUUAUUAGCGCAUGUUAAAAAGAUGAAAGCUCCGGCGGUGUAAAAUGAGCGUGCGUCCUAUUAGCUAGUUGGUGAGGUAAUGGCUCACCAAGGCUACGAUGGGUAGGGGUUCUUAGUGGAAGGUCCCCCACACUGGCACUGAGAUACGGGCCAGACUCCUACGGGAGGCAGCAGUAGGGAAUAUUGGUCAAUGGGCGCAAGCCUGAACCAGCCAUGCCGCGUGCAGGAUGAAGGCUCUCUGAGUUGUAAACUGCUUUUGUACAGGAGCAAAAAAAUCCCUGCGGGGGUUCUUGAGAGUACUGUAAGAAUAAGCACCGGCUAAUUCCGUGCCAGCAGCCGCGGUAAUACGGGAGGUGCAAGCGUUAUCCGGUUUUAUUGGGUUUAAAGGGCGCGUAGGCGGCUUAUUAAGUCAGUUGUGAAAUCCUAGUGCUUAACGCUAGAACUGCGAUUGAUACUAUUAGGCUUGAGUUAAGAAGAGGUAA
Molecule: ribosomal RNA, 637 nt
Filed under: uncultured Candidatus Cardinium sp.
Lineage: Bacteria; Pseudomonadati; Bacteroidota; Cytophagia; Cytophagales; Amoebophilaceae
Description: bacterial SSU rRNA
Rfam family: Bacterial small subunit ribosomal RNA
Source: RNAcentral